RNAcentral lists this ribosomal RNA (207 nucleotides) under uncultured bacterium. RNAcentral's name for it is "partial 16S ribosomal RNA". It matches the Rfam family "Bacterial small subunit ribosomal RNA", at positions 568 to 774 of the family's 1533-position model. The record is from RNAcentral.
UGCGUAGGUGGUGGGGUAAGUUUGAUGUGAAAGCUCCGGGCUCAACUCGGAAAUUGCAUUGAAUACUAUCUCGCUAGAGGAUUGGAGGGGGGACUGGAAUUCUCGGUGUAGCAGUGAAAUGCGUAGAUAUCGAGAGGAACACCAGUGGCGAAGGCGAGUCCCUGGACAACUCCUGACACUGAGGCACGAAAGCUAGGGGAGCAAACA